GUUGUUGGGAGGCAGGAGUCGGGCCUGCAGACGCAGCCGGGAGGAAGAGCUGGGCCCGGAGAGGACGCCGGGAGGCUGCAAGUGGGUCUGGAGAGGCCGACUUGAGGAGCUUCUGGGCCCGGAGAGGCCGCCGGAAGGGAAAAACUGGGCCGGGAAAGGCCGUUGUGAGGAAUGAGCCCCAUGGGCCUGAAGAGGCCACUGGCAGGCGGGAGCUGGGCCUGCCGAAGCGGCGGAGAGGCCGGAGCUUUGGACUCGGGAGGCCGCAGGCGAGAGCGAGCUGGGCGUGGAGAGUCCGCUGUGAGGCAGAGGCUGGGCCUGUGCAAGCUUUCGGGAGGCAGGAGGCCAGGCCUGCAGAGGCCGACUGGAGGUCAAGUUCGG
RNAcentral lists this long non-coding RNA (378 nucleotides) under Homo sapiens (human). Its description in RNAcentral is "HSALNT0123482". Lineage: Eukaryota; Metazoa; Chordata; Mammalia; Primates; Hominidae. The record is from RNAcentral.